GACGAACGCUGGCGGCGUGCUUAACACAUGCAAGUAGAACGAAGAGCGAUGGAAGCUUGCUUCUAUCAAUCUUAGUGGCGAACGGGUGAGUAACGCGUAAUCAACCUGCCCUUCAGAGGGGGACAACAGUUGGAAACGACUGCUAAUACCGCAUACGAUCUAAUCUCGGCAUCGAGGAUAGAUGAAAGGUGGCCUCUACAUGUAAGCUAUCACUGAAGGAGGGGAUUGCGUCUGAUUAGCUAGUUGGAGGGGUAACGGCCCACCAAGGCGAUGAUCAGUAGCCGGUCUGAGAGGAUGAACGGCCACAUUGGGACUGAGACACGGCCCAGACUCCUACGGGAGGCAGCAGUGGGGAAUCUUCCGCAAUGGACGAAAGUCUGACGGAGCAACGCCGCGUGAGCGAUGACGGCCUUCGGGUUGUAAAGCUCUGUUAAUCGGGACGAAAGGCCUUCUUGCGAAUAGUGAGAAGGAUUGACGGUACCGGAAUAGAAAGCCACGGCUAACUACGUG
This 510-nucleotide ribosomal RNA is filed under the name uncultured bacterium. RNAcentral describes it as "partial 16S ribosomal RNA". It matches the Rfam family "Bacterial small subunit ribosomal RNA", at positions 28 to 507 of the family's 1533-position model. The record is from RNAcentral.